RNAcentral lists this ribosomal RNA (490 nucleotides) under uncultured bacterium. RNAcentral's name for it is "partial 16S ribosomal RNA". It matches the Rfam family "Bacterial small subunit ribosomal RNA", at positions 30 to 507 of the family's 1533-position model. The record is from RNAcentral.
AUUGAACGCUGGCGGCAGGCCUAACACAUGCAAGUCGAACGGUAACAGGAAGCAGCUUGCUGCUUUGCUGACGAGUGGCGGACGGGUGAGUAAUGUCUGGGAAACUGCCUGAUGGAGGGGGAUAACUACUGGAAACGGUAGCUAAUACCGCAUAACGUCGCAAGACCAAAGAGGGGGACCUUCGGGCCUCUUGCCAUCGGAUGUGCCCAGAUGGGAUCAGCUAGUAGGUGGGGUAACGGCUCACCUAGGCGACGAUCCCUAGCUGGUCUGAGAGGAUGACCAGCCACACUGGAACUGAGACACGGUCCAGACUCCUACGGGAGGCAGCAGUGGGGAAUAUUGCACAAUGGGCGCAAGCCUGAUGCAGCCAUGCCGCGUGUAUGAAGAAGGCCUUCGGGUUGUAAAGUACUUUCAGCGGGGAGGAAGGGAGUAAAGUUAAUACCUUUGCUCAUUGACGUUACCCGCAGAAGAAGCACCGGCUAACUCCGUG